UAAAAAAUUGAAAGUCAGCUGUACUCAAAGUAUCAGAAAAAUUUGGGGUUGAUCAAUUGAUCAUAUAAAUGUGGCAAUGCCUGAUGUUCAUAAGUGGUUUUUUUUUUUUUUUUUUUUUUUUUUUUUUUUUUUUUUUUUUUUAGCACAGUGGAGUAGCUUUCUUUAAGGAGAUCUAUUUCCACCGUUUUCCAGAAUCUAACUAAGUACCUACUAAAACAUGAUAUGCAUUAAUUAUCAACUAGCCUCACCAAAAUGUCAACCUUAUCAUCUCUUCAUCUAAAGUCUCAAUGAUAUUACGCUUCAAAUCAUUCAUGUUGAUAUUUACUUAAUUAGAUCUCCACAGUGAUUACUGCCUCGCACCACCAUUUACUUUAAUCAUCUAAGCUGUCUUUUUUCACCUUUUCACUCUUUUCCAAUUAGGCGUUCUUAAACAUUCUUUGACCCCAGUCAACAUUUGCACCAAAGCACAAUUGAAAUCUGAAGCUUACUUUGUGCAAGUGUCAAAUUCAUUUAGAUGCUGUCCUCAGUGAAAAAGAAAAUCUUCAGCAAAAAAAUUACCGAAGUUUUUUUCAAGUGAUCCUUCAAGAUGUUGAUGUUCAAAAUUUUAGUUUUUGGCGUUUUUUAUUCUGACAGGAUCUCGGGGAAAUCUACUGGACAAGCUUCUGAAAUAGCACUUAGUCCACCGAGGAGCUCUGCAUGGAGUGAAGAUAAUCUGGACAAUCAUCGGAACAACAUUUCUGGAGAGACCCAGAAAUUUGCCGCAGCUCAAAGUCAUGAGGUACCGAAAAAUUGUGAACAGGUGAACAUAUGUCUUGUUGCUGGCAGUAUCAAAACAAAGGAAGAAGUAAUGGUCUGGGAGGGAACUUUACCUGUUGCACUAACUUUACCAGCAUACGUUGGCUCUCCUGACGCAUCCGUUAAUGCGCCGCUCAGAGUUAGCGGUGGUAUUCAAUGGUACUCCAGUUCACUGCAAGUUGUUGGUCAAAAUACGAUCUACAUCAAUGGAUCAUUCUCUGCACCCAUGUGUUAUAACUCUGAAGGUGAUCAUUGCUGGGCUAAUGGAAACUUUGAAUUGAAAUUCCGGGCUGACUCAAAAUUCUCCUGGCAAGCUAUUCAAGGUCAGUUAAUGUCAUCUCCAGUUUAUUACAAGGUGGUAAAAGACAUGAAAGUACCUCUUCCAGAUAUGGAGGCGUCUUCAAAGAAUUUCUCUCUCGAGUCCCCUUCAGCGGAAGACUUCAUUUUGCAUAAACAACCAACUGUGUCAAAGGAGAAUUUCAUUCUUCAGAGUGCGCCAUCAAUGUUCCAUCAAACAUUUGUCUUACAGCAGUCCCCAAAAGAAGUGAGAGCCCCGAUUUUUCUGGAGGGACAAUUCAGCAAGGAUCGCUCCGAGUUCUACUGGGAUGGUACAGCUUUUGUGUUGUUUCCACCCACCAAAAAGGCAGAAGGAGAAUCGGCGAGCCCUUCCUCAAAGACUGAACAGAGUUUAGAUUCAGACUCUUUGGAGAGUGAUGCCGGUUUUGAUAGUGACUGGGUGAUUGUUCCAAAAAUCAACCCUUCUAAGCCUGAGUUAGUCCCAAGUGAAAUGGACGCCUAUAGCCCCCCAGAUGUAGCAAGGUAUUUUGAAUCCGUAAAAAAUGAUCCGUUGAAACCGAAUGAUAUCCCCCCAGUUACAGAUGAAGUUCCAGCAAAGAAAACCUUGCAGAGAUCUCAGCUUCAAAUGAAAUUGGACAGGGAUUUUCAGAAUGUGACGUACAAGAAGGAAUCGAUUCCGGGUCAUCAUAUGAAUAUAAGUGAAGAAGAAAGUGAAUGGGAGCUUGUGCCAGGAACCAUAAGUGAUUACAGACGUAAAAAUAGCACGGAUCCAAACCAUUUGGGCCCAGCUGAACCGCAUCGCAACAGAAAUGCCCUCGAUGACUAUAUUGAUGAAAGAGAUCGAAGAAUGAAAGAAAUGAUACGCAAUGCAACUUUGAAAGAUACACCUGAUUUUAUGGCUAGACAUUUUGAAACUUUUGGAGACGGUUCAUUAAAAUCAAUUGACCCAUCAGCAAAUGAGUGGGUGGAUAUGGAGGUAGUAAUAGGGAAAAAUCAACCUGAAGCUAAUUUUCAAGAGAAGAAAACCUUACAAAGAUCCCAACUUCAAAUGAAAUUGGACAGGGAUUUUCAAAAUGUGACCUACAAAAAAGAAUCGAUUCCAGGCCAUCAUAUGAAUAUAAGUGAAGGAGAAAGUGAGUGGGAGCUUGUGCCAGGAACCAUAAGUGAUUACAGACGUAAAAAUAGCACGGAUCCAAAUCAUUUGGGCCCAGCAGAGCCGCAUCGGAACAGAAACGCCUUUGAUGACCACGUUGAUGAAGAGAAUAGAAGAAUGAGAGAACACAUACGUAACAUGACUCUGAAAACUGCACCAGGUCUUUCAAGUUACUCCAAAAAGUCUGUUGUCAAGUUAAAACUAAAAGUAACAUCGACAAGUUCGGAAGAUACCUCAGCUUCUAAUGAAAAUAAUCGAAUUUUGUUUAAAGUUGAUCCUUCAAUCGCGCUGUUUCCAAUGGACUGGAAGUUUGAUAUCUUGAGUAAAGUUAGAGUCAUCCCACUUGAUUUUUUUUACAAAAUGAAUUCAUCUAUCAGAACGUCGAAACCAGUCAUCUUAUGGAGUGCAACAAUAAAUGAAAACAAUUUAAAAGGGAAUAUUUCAAUUCCAGAAUUUAUUUUAGACGCGAACAAGCAGAGACAUGUUUUGUGGCUAAAUACUACUUUUAGUUUAAAUUAUCGCACAUCCGCCGAAGAUACCCUGCAAAAUUUUGUAACUUGUGGAAUUUUACAAAGUUCACGUCUAUUACUAAAAGAUAUUAAAUGCUCAAAUGUAGAAAAUGUUUCAAAUGAUUUUGAGACUCUGAACUGGCAGCUGGACACUUUCCAAAAAAUCUCAUUAAUCCAGGCCGGCCAACCACUACCCACUUCAGACUUUCUUUUACUCGGCGAAUUCACAGAUGAUAAAACAGCUUUUCUUUGGGACGGAAGCAUAAUGUUCAACUUUGAAAAUCGAGGGAAGAAAGAUAACUUCGAGGUCGCCAUGGAGGAUGUCAACCCUGAUUGGUCAGCAACCCCGCUAAAAAUCACAGCAGUUUCUUUCAACGUGGACUCUGUGAACGGAGAGCCUGUAUCACUAGUACACCCUUGGUCAUCCUUAACUCCUGGUUCAUUUCCAUUUGCCUUUCUGACCAAUAAUCAUGUCGCUGAUGUGAAUUCGGCCCUUUUCUGGACAGGCCGUGUGGAAGGAGAUAAAUUGAAAGGAAAUUUCACCCUGCCUUUAUUCCCAACAGCAAUAACCAGUCAGGAUGUUUUAAGAGGCACAUUUGAGAUGCAGCUAAGAGCAAAUCUGCCUCAGUUUUCUUGGUACAGUAGAGAGCAUUUAUACACAGGACCAAACCCACCCCCAGGUCCUCCUCCAGGUCCUCCACCAGGUCCUAUGCCAGGUCCCAGGAAAGCCAAAGGUCCACAAAAAAAUGCUCCACAUAACGUACAAUUCGUACCAUUUCUUGACGUAUGGCCUCCUCCACCCACCAACUUUCCAAAAAUGUUUCCGAUUCCAUUCCCAAUCAACAUCACGGCCUCUCCAUCAGACCGUGCUGUCAAAAUGGAACCUGUUUCAAAUCUGGAGGAAUCAGUUGCAGAGAUGGUUGAUAGUGAUAGCCUUGAAACCAAAGGCAAAUUCCCCUCACUUUUACACUGGUCUCCUAAUAAAAUUCUCAGCCAAGAAGAAUUGUCAAAAUUAAUCAAGCCAUCCCCUGCGUCAUCCCAUCUUGUAUUGAACACAGUUCCUUGGCCACCCGUCUACCCGAAGUGGCCGUCUGAUAAACCUCCUCCGCCAUGGGAACAACCUUUUCCAUUCGCUGAUUCAAAUGCUGAACCACAUCCUGACGAGCCACUCCUCGCCAAAGACAUGGAACUACUAGAAGAAAAAGCCAACGUUCACUUGAACUCUAAAACUACUCAAACUGUCUUCGCAGACAGUGUCACCCUAAAUCCUGCAAACAAAAUCAAGAAAGCAAGAAAGAACGUGCUUCAUGCAUCACCAAUCACCUCAAAGCAAGCUGUCGAUUGUGAAAUUGAAGAAUUGACAUCGCUAUACAUGAAGCAACUUGCAGCAAUUAUCAAGCCUGGGAUCCAGUAUGCUACCAAGCUACUGAUGAAGUCAAAAGAAGGCGUUAAAUAUAGUACGCAAAAACUGAACGUGUCAGAAUGCGUCGCAAAUCUCUUGAAAAAUAGUGUGCCGUCUAAAAUUGUUCUUGAUGGUGACUGGGAGGAAAAUUAUGAUGACUACUAUUGGCCAGGUAAUGCUGUGUUUUUGCUAGCAAAGACGCCUCUGCGGAAACCACAUAGUCAAAUGUUUAACAAACCACCCCCUCCUGCCAGAAUACUGCAGAAAUUAAAGGAUAAACUGGGAAUUUUGCCCUUGUUUCAUGGAUUCUUUCCUGCCCGAGUUGUUGAUGGCAGCAUUUCAGUAGGAACGACACCAACUGUUCAGUCAACUGUGUGGUCAGGGAAAUUGCCCUUAUCCUUUCCAAUACCUGCAACAUGGGCCUCAGGAGAAGUUCUGACUGACAGUGGUGACAAGUUAGGAAUUCACUGGACGCCAACACUUGUAUCCUACGAUCAUGUUGAAGGAACUUAUUAUCUUGACGUCGUCUCAAAUUCAACAAUUUCAGGAAAUUUCCGGUUUCAGAUGCUCCCAGUCUGGGGUGAUUCUACUGUCAAUAAGGUCCUUACUGCCGGACAAAAAUUUUACUCAAAAGUAAAUAUUGAACCUCUCCCUGAUGGAAUGAAGGGUGAUACUGGCCUUCAAGAAUCGGAUGACAGUCAGAUCAAAGUAAUUGGAGAAAAAUUUGUACCUCUUACGAUUAAAGGCGAUUAUAAUGUGGAUAGUGCCAUAUUUGAUUGGACAGGAGAUAUUGCCAUCAGUAUACCCUAA
This 4966-nucleotide long non-coding RNA is filed under the name Bemisia tabaci. RNAcentral describes it as "lncRNA ENSSSA1UGG001517". Lineage: Eukaryota; Metazoa; Arthropoda; Insecta; Hemiptera; Aleyrodidae. The record is from RNAcentral.